RNAcentral lists this ribosomal RNA (301 nucleotides) under uncultured bacterium. RNAcentral describes it as "partial 16S ribosomal RNA". It matches the Rfam family "Bacterial small subunit ribosomal RNA", at positions 509 to 807 of the family's 1533-position model. The record is from RNAcentral.
CAGUAGCCGCGGGAAUACGGAGGGUGCAAGCGUUAAUCGGAAUUACUGGGCGUAAAGCGUGCGUAGGCGGCUUUGUAAGUUAGAGGUGAAAGCCCGGGGCUCAACCCCGGAAUUGCCUUUAAGACUGCAUCGCUUGAAUCGCGGAGAGGUGAGUGGAAUUCCGAGUGUAGAGGUGAAAUUCGUAGAUAUUCGGAAGAACUCCAGUGGCGAAGGCGGCUCACUGGACGCGUACUGACGCUCAUGCACGAAAGCGUGGGGAGCAAACAGGAUUAGAUACCCCCGUAGUCCCUGUCUCUUAUAC